UGCAUGUUAAGUACCAGGCUUUGUGCGU
This 28-nucleotide non-coding RNA is filed under the name Mus musculus (house mouse). Lineage: Eukaryota; Metazoa; Chordata; Mammalia; Rodentia; Muridae. The record is from RNAcentral.